GUUAGGAAUAUUGGACAAUGGACGCAAGUCUGAUCCAGCCAUGCCGCGUGAGUGAUGAAGGCCUUCGGGUUGUAAAGCUCUUUAGCCGAUGAUUAUAAUGACUGUAGUCGGAAAAUAAGCCCCGGCUAACUUCGUGCCAGCAGCCGCGGUAAUACGAAGGGGGCGAGCGUUAUUCGGAAUCACUGGGCGUAAAGCGUGCGUAGGCGGUUUUGUAAGUUGGGAGUGAAAGCCCAGGGCUCAACCAUGGAAUUGCUCUCAAAACUACAAGACUUGAAUUCGGGAGAGGAUAGCGGAAUUGUCAGUGUAGCAGUGAAAUGCGUAGAUAUUGACAGGAACACCAGUGGCGUAAGCGGCUAUCUGGACCGACAUUGACGCUGAGGCACGAAAGCGUGGGGAUCAAACAGGAUUAGAUACCCCGGUAGUCC
RNAcentral lists this ribosomal RNA (425 nucleotides) under uncultured bacterium. RNAcentral's name for it is "partial 16S ribosomal RNA". It matches the Rfam family "Bacterial small subunit ribosomal RNA", at positions 354 to 796 of the family's 1533-position model. The record is from RNAcentral.